CUGCUGAAAGGAAGGACUAUGGA
This 23-nucleotide non-coding RNA is filed under the name Cricetulus griseus (Chinese hamster). Lineage: Eukaryota; Metazoa; Chordata; Mammalia; Rodentia; Cricetidae. The record is from RNAcentral.